This 243-nucleotide long non-coding RNA is filed under the name Vigna radiata. RNAcentral describes it as "long non-coding RNA (VRAD_LNC011665)". The record is from RNAcentral. Lineage: Eukaryota; Viridiplantae; Streptophyta; Magnoliopsida; Fabales; Fabaceae.
CGGGUGCUUAAAUGGGCUGCACAUGAUUAGUAAAUGGGAUUGGGCUGUUGCACCUGUUGGGCUGAUUUGAUGCAUUGGGCUUAUGCAAUUCAGAUGGGGGCGGUGCUCCCUCCACCUCCCCGUUUUCUCCCUCCACCUCCCCUUCCUCUUUUACCCCUCACUCUAUCUUUCUAUUCCUAAUUUAUUCUUCAGUAAAAAUUUAUUUUUUGGGUUAAAAUAUUAUAAUUUUUAUCCACUCCCCAC